Molecule: long non-coding RNA, 228 nt
Organism: Herpailurus yagouaroundi (jaguarundi)
Lineage: Eukaryota; Metazoa; Chordata; Mammalia; Carnivora; Felidae
Exons: 3
Source: RefSeq, a predicted model, not a curated record
CUUGAAGGGUUAAGCUUCCCGGCAGCCAAUAACCGGUUGUUAGUAGCACUAUUUAGACUCUGUAGAUUCAACUUAGCCAGAAAAGGGUACUAAGGUCCUACUUUCCCCAGCUGAAGAAGAAGGGCAAAGAGACCUGGAAAAGACUUCUAUGGAUAGUAUCUAUGGAUACUACUCUCUGGACCCAACACCACGUGGGCCAAGCCCUCACUGGCCCGUCCCCAGGUCGUG